RNAcentral lists this transfer RNA (20 nucleotides) under Solanum myoxotrichum. RNAcentral describes it as "partial tRNA-Gly". The record is from RNAcentral. Lineage: Eukaryota; Viridiplantae; Streptophyta; Magnoliopsida; Solanales; Solanaceae.
UUGUAGCGGGUAUAGUUUAG